This is a long non-coding RNA of Chinchilla lanigera (long-tailed chinchilla), 546 nucleotides long. RefSeq lists it as uncharacterized. The transcript is spliced from 3 exons. The record is from RefSeq and is a predicted model, not a curated record. Lineage: Eukaryota; Metazoa; Chordata; Mammalia; Rodentia; Chinchillidae.
UCCCAACAGGAAGGUAUGCCCUUGAGAUUUCUCAAGUCCCCUCAGAGGUCUGGAGGAGGAUUCCUGGCUCCCUGCUUGAGCGGGUCACAUCAGACUCCAAAAGGAGGAGGAUACAAUCUGUCUGUCUGCCCACCUGAUUCUGCAGAAUUCACCUGCCACAUCUGUCAUCACAAGAGGCCAAGGAAUGUCACCUGUUCGGUGAGCAGAGCCAAGGAGAAGAUGCUCAAGCAGGCCCAGGAAGCUGAAGGAAAUUGCAAGAGGGAAAGUCAUGACAUCCUCCAGCACAGGAGCCAGCUGUAGGUCCUUCAGGCGAGAGCUCUGGUGUGGGCAUCAGAAGCCCAGUGUUUGUCCCAACUCAUAAACUGCCUGCUGUGUGACUGUGGUCUUGCACUCCUCAAGGUGGGGACUCCGAGUCAGGUCUCAGUGUCAUCACCCAGACUCACCUGGCUGAAGCCUGAAAGGAAGGUGCCUUUGCCAUGUUGAAGCUCAAUCCUUCCUGCCCCUGUUUUUCAUUCGUUCACUCAGUAAAAAUCUCUGAGCUCCGGA